GAUGAAGAACGUAGCGAAAUGCGAUAAGUAAUGUGAAUUGCAGAAUUCAGUGAAUCAUCGAAUCUUUGAACGCACCUUGCACCCUUUGGCAUUCUGAAGGGUAUGCUCGUUUGAGUGUCAUUGUCUCUCACACUCCCGAUCUUUGCAUUGGGAGCAGUGGACUUGGGUUUGCUGCUUCACCGUCGCUUACCUCAAAUAGGUUAGUGCAACUCUUGGUUGGACAUAGUACGGCGUGAUAAGUGUUCUUCGCCGGUGCCUCGCAAAGAGGGUGGCCGAUCGGGAUGUUGUGCUCCAAACCGUCUUCGGACAAUCUCGGACGACUUGACCUCAAAUCGAGUAAGACUACCCGCUGAACUUAAGCAUAUCAAUAAGCGGAGGA
Molecule: unclassified non-coding RNA, 379 nt
Filed under: soil metagenome
Description: partial contains 5.8S ribosomal RNA, internal transcribed spacer 2, and large subunit ribosomal RNA
Rfam family: 5.8S ribosomal RNA (bases 1-120)
Source: RNAcentral